AGUGAACGCUGGCGGUAGGCCUAACACAUGCAAGUCGAACGGCAGCACAGUAAGAGCUUGCUCUUACGGGUGGCGGGUGGCGGACGUGUGAGGAGUACAUCGGAAUCUACUUUUUCGUGGGGGAUAACGUAGGGAAACUUACGCUAAUACCGCAUACGACCUACGGGUGAAAGCAGUGGAUCUUCGCACCUUGCGCGAUUGAAUGAGCCGCUGUCGGUUUAGCUAGUUGGCGGGGUAAAGGCCCACCAAGGCGACGUUCCGUAGCUGGUCUGAGAGGAGGGUCAGCCACACUGGAAAGGAGACACGGUCCAGACUCCUAAGGGAGGGAGCAGUGGGGAAUAUUGGACAAUGGGCGCAAGCCUGAUCCAGCCAGACCGCGUGGGUGAAGAAGGCCUUCGGGUUGUAAAGCCCUUUUGUUGGGAAAGAAAAGCAGCAGGUUAAUACCCCGCGGUUCUGACGGUAACCAAAGAAUAAGCACCGGCUAACUUCGUG
RNAcentral lists this ribosomal RNA (492 nucleotides) under uncultured bacterium. RNAcentral describes it as "partial 16S ribosomal RNA". It matches the Rfam family "Bacterial small subunit ribosomal RNA", at positions 29 to 507 of the family's 1533-position model. The record is from RNAcentral.